CUACGGGGGGCUGCAGUGGGGAAUAUUGGACAAUGGGCGAAAGCCUGAUCCAGCCAUGCCGCGUGUGUGAAGAAGGCCUUCGGGUUGUAAAGCACUUUCAGUGGGGAAGAAAGCCUUGGGGCUAAUACCCUCGAGGAAGGACAUCACCCACAGAAGAAGCACCGGCUAACUCCGUGCCAGCAGCCGCGGUAAUACGGAGGGUGCGAGCGUUAAUCGGAAUUACUGGGCGUAAAGCGCGCGUAGGCGGUCUGAUAAGCCGGUUGUGAAAGCCCCGGGCUCAACCUGGGAACGGCAUCCGGAACUGUCAGGCUAGAGUGCAGGAGAGGAAGGUAGAAUUCCCGGUGUAGCAGUGAAAUGCGUAGAGAUCGGGAGGAAUACCAGUGGCGAAGGCGGCCUUCUGGACUGACACUGACGCUGAGGUGCGAAAGCGUGGGUAGCAAACAGGAUUAGAUACCCCAGUAGUC
This 464-nucleotide ribosomal RNA is filed under the name Vreelandella stevensii. RNAcentral describes it as "partial 16S ribosomal RNA". It matches the Rfam family "Bacterial small subunit ribosomal RNA", at positions 339 to 795 of the family's 1533-position model. The record is from RNAcentral. Lineage: Bacteria; Pseudomonadati; Pseudomonadota; Gammaproteobacteria; Oceanospirillales; Halomonadaceae.